GCUGGGUGUGGUGGCGUGCACCUGUAAUCCCAGCUACUCAGAAGGCUGAGGCAGGAGAAUUGUUUGAACCUGGGAGGUGGAGGUUGCAAUGCGCUGAGAUCAAGCCAUUGCACUCCAGCCUGGGUGACAGAGCGAGACCCUGUCUCAA
Molecule: non-coding RNA, 148 nt
Filed under: Nomascus leucogenys (northern white-cheeked gibbon)
Lineage: Eukaryota; Metazoa; Chordata; Mammalia; Primates; Hylobatidae
Source: Rfam by way of RNAcentral